RNAcentral lists this small nucleolar RNA (67 nucleotides) under Millerozyma farinosa CBS 7064. RNAcentral's name for it is "Piso0_003431". Lineage: Eukaryota; Fungi; Ascomycota; Pichiomycetes; Serinales; Debaryomycetaceae. The record is from RNAcentral.
GUACAAUGAUGAUCCAAUCUUUUGGUCCGUGUUUAUGAGGUGGAUUCAAGACCCACCACGUGAGUUC